This is a non-coding RNA of Danio rerio (zebrafish), 71 nucleotides long. Lineage: Eukaryota; Metazoa; Chordata; Actinopteri; Cypriniformes; Danionidae. The record is from Rfam.
GCAUUGGUGGUUCAGUGGUAGAAUUCUUGCUUGCCACGCAGGAGACCCAGGUCUGUUUCCCGGCCAAUGCA